This 336-nucleotide unclassified non-coding RNA is filed under the name soil metagenome. Its description in RNAcentral is "partial contains 5.8S ribosomal RNA, internal transcribed spacer 2, and large subunit ribosomal RNA". The stretch from base 1 to 120 matches the Rfam family "5.8S ribosomal RNA", at positions 35 to 154 of the family's 154-position model. The record is from RNAcentral.
GAUGAAGAACGUAGUGAAAUGCGAUACGUAGUGUGAAUUGCAGAAUUCAGUGAAUCAUCGAAUCUUUGAACGCACAUUGCACCUCUCGGUAUUCCGGGGGGCAUGCCUGUUCGAGCGUCAUUUCAACCCUCAAGCUCUGCUUGGUAUUGGGCUCCGUCCUCCUCGGACGCGCCUCAAAGACCUCGGCGGUGGCGUCUUGCCUCAAGCGUAGUAGAAACACCUCGCUUUGGAGUGCAUGGCGUCGCCCGCCGGACGAAACCUUUUGUAUUUUCUCAAAGGUUGACCUCGGAUCAGGUAGGGAUACCCGCUGAACUUAAGCAUAUCAAUAAGCGGAGG